Molecule: ribosomal RNA, 323 nt
Filed under: uncultured Mycoplasmatota bacterium
Lineage: Bacteria; Bacillati; Mycoplasmatota
Description: bacterial SSU rRNA
Rfam family: Bacterial small subunit ribosomal RNA
Source: RNAcentral
GAUGAACGCUGGCGGCGUGCCUAAUACAUGCAAGUCGAACGCACCACUUCGGUGGUGAGUGGCGAACGGGUGAGUAACACGUAGAUAACCUGCCCUUAAGACGAGGAUAACCAUUGGAAACGAUGGCUAAGACUGGAUAGGAAUAUUGGAGGCAUCUCUGAUAUUUUAAAAGACCUAGCAAUAGGUAUGCUUAAGGAGGGGUCUGCGGCGCAUUAGUUAGUUGGUGAGGUGAUGGCUUACCAAGACGAUGAUGCGUAGCCGGACUGAGAGGUUGGACGGCCACAUUGGGACUGAGAGACGGCCCAAACUCCUACGGGAGGCUG